RNAcentral lists this ribosomal RNA (383 nucleotides) under uncultured eukaryote. RNAcentral describes it as "partial 18S ribosomal RNA". It matches the Rfam family "Eukaryotic small subunit ribosomal RNA", at positions 592 to 976 of the family's 1831-position model. The record is from RNAcentral.
CAAUAGCGUAUAUUAAAGUUGUUGCAGUUAAAAAGCUCGUAGUUGGAUUUCUGGUGGGAGCGAUCGGUCUGGCGCUUAGCGCGAGUACUUGCAUCGUCUCCGGCCAUCCUUGGGGAGAGUCUGUAUGGCAUUAGGUUGUCGGGCAGAGGAUCCUCAUCGUUUACUGUGAAAAAAUUAGAGUGUUCAAAGCAGGCUUAUGCCGUUGAAUAUAUUAGCAUGGAAUAAUAAGAUAGGACUUUGGUACUAUUUUGUUGGUUUGCGCACCAAAGUAAUGAUUAAUAGGGACAGUUGGGGGUAUUCGUAUUCCGUUGUCAGAGGUGAAAUUCUUGGAUUUACGGAAGACGAACUACUGCGAAAGCAUUUACCAAGGAUGUUUUCAUUAA